CUGCAGCCAUUCUUAAACCAUAUCGUCUUCUGCGCGCUGCCGCCUCCUCUAUUCCUCCUCUCUGCGCCGAUCUCUUUCGAUCCUGCUAGUUUCUUUCGAUUUCACAUUCGAGCCUCUAAGCGAUUUCUCUUUAUUAUUUUUAUAUCGAUUGAUCUCUUGAUGCCCUAAUUCUGCUGUUCAAUCUACGAGCGUGAUGAAAAGAUUAACAUUAUCUCGCCAUGAGGUAUCUGAUGCGCGGUCUAACUAUGGUUGCGUUUCUCGUAAGAAUGGCGGAGAUGGAAACCAGCAGGACUGCGACGCUGGCUGCUCUAUAUCUACCUGAGCUUCCUGUUACUCUUUUGUCCUGCUAACAAUUCAUCAUAAACCCUUAACUACUAUUUUCAAAACAUGUCCUGCUAACUACUAUUUUCAAAACUACUAAAUGUCUUUUUUGAAUCAUUGAGUUUGUUUUUUUUUCUUCUGCGCACAUUUACUCAAAAUUCUGAUGCUUUUCAUUGUGAUUUGUGAUGAAAUAUAUUGCAUUGUGGAAG
Molecule: long non-coding RNA, 530 nt
Organism: Phalaenopsis equestris
Lineage: Eukaryota; Viridiplantae; Streptophyta; Magnoliopsida; Asparagales; Orchidaceae
Exons: 2
Source: RefSeq, a predicted model, not a curated record